Camelus dromedarius (Arabian camel) is the source of this 3180-nucleotide RNA transcript. It is a transcript of the gene named aminoacyl tRNA synthetase complex interacting multifunctional protein 2, with no coding region annotated. Lineage: Eukaryota; Metazoa; Chordata; Mammalia; Artiodactyla; Camelidae. The transcript is spliced from 5 exons. The record is from RefSeq and is a predicted model, not a curated record.
AACUGCGCUUUCCGGAACGCCCUUAGCCUUCUUGGGAAGGUAGCGGCCGCAGUCUGUCGUGGAGUUGGACGGUUUCUGAGCGUUCGUGUCCUUACCCGCCAUCUCCCUUCCUUUGGUUCCCACGAUGCCGAUGUACCAGGUAAAGCCCUAUCACGAGGGCGGUGCAUCUCUCCGUGUAGAGCUUCCCACCUGCAUGUACCAGCUUCCCAACGUGCACGGCAAGACCAGUAGUCCUGCGCCAGCCGCGGGCCACGUGCAGGAGGAGUCUGACCCGUCGCUUCGAGCCCUUGAGUCCUGCCAAGAUGACAUUUUAAAACGUCUGUAUGAAUUGAAAGCUGCAGUUGAUGGUCUCUCCAAGAUGAUUCAGACGCCAGAUGCGGACUUGGAUGUCACCGACAUCAUCCAAGCCGAUGAGCCCACUGCUUUCUCCACCAAUGCAGUGGACUUAAAUUCCAUGCUCGGAAAGGACUACGGGGCGCUGAAAGACAUCGUGAUCAACGCGAACCCCACCUCACCACCCCUCUCCCUGCUCGUGCUGCACCGGCUGCUCUGUGACCACUACAGGGUCCUGUCCACGGUGCACACGCACUCGGCAGUCGAGGGUGUGCCAGCAAACCUCCUCAGGUGCUUCGGCGAGCAGACAAAGCAGCAGCCCCGCCAUGAGUAUCAGCUGGGCUUUACUCUGAUUUGGAAGAACGUGCCGAAGACGCAGAUGAAAUUCAGUGUCCAGACGAUGUGUCCCGUCGAAGGAGAAGGGAACGUCGCACGCUUCCUGUUCUCCCUGUUUGGCCAGAAGCACGAUGCUGUAAAUUUAACCCUCAUCGACAGCUGGGUAGAUACAGCGAUUUUUCAGCUCAAAGACGGGAGCAGUAAAGAAAAAGCCGCUGUGUUCCGCGCCAUGAACUCCGCUCUCGGGAAGAGCCCCUGGCUGGUGGGGGACGAGCUCACGGUGGCAGACGUCGUGCUGUGGUCCGUGCUCCGGCAGACGAGAGGCUGCGGGGCGCCAGCACCAGCCAACGUGCAGAGGUGGAUGAGGGCCUGUGAGAACCUGGCCCCUUUCAACACCGCCCUGCGGCUCCUUCAGUGAAUCCCUCACUGAUUUAAAGGGCUUCCAUUUGAAGAAUGGUGCUGUUCCGUGCCUAUUACUGCAACACCGUGUGCAGUGUACUGUGACAACUGCCAGCUACGUGGCAGGCACACUGGGAUACAAACAGGAACGUGUGACGUCACUGCCUCUGGGGAAUGCGGAUGGUGGGGAACCGAGUCUGUGCUGAAGGAGGAAGCACCGCGGGGGCAAAAGCGGAGACACUGCUGGUGGAGCUGCUUCGAGAUCAUUUUGGGGACAAAGGAGCACAAAGCUUUGAAAGGGCCUGGGCCUGGGAUGAUGCCAAGGUGAAGGCAAAGACGACAGAAAGAGGCUGGGUGCUGUGCCCGUGCAGAGACGAGGGGCAGCAGACACUUCAGAGCCAGUGGCCUUCUGGUAAUGGGCUCGGGCCGCAGUGGGGAUGGAAGAGUUGUUAGGGAGACAGGCAGUGUCCCAGCUGGAACAGUCCAGCUGGUGCACACACCUGGGCAGUGAUGGGUCUCUGCGGUAGAACCUUAUAGAGGACUUUAUGGUCAGUAGGCAGAGCUCCAAAGAGCCCACGAUUUUAGAGACUGGCUAGAUGGCAAGAGUAAAGUAGGAGGUCCGGGAAGGGAGCUGGUAGGACAGGAGAGGAGCAGGAGCAGAACGGGUUCCAUCUAGUGUGGCCUCGAGUUCAGAAUGCCAGCCUUGAAGAGCUACUGCAGGAAAAAGCAGCGGGGUACUUUCACAACCUCACCUUAAUAAGGCUUACUAAACACAGGUAAGUAUCAGACCAUCUAUACCCUAACAGAGAUUGAAAAUUUACAUUCCAGUUGACUAGAGAGUUUCAGUCCGCUUUCAUACUUAUAGAGGCUGCUGAGGUGAGACACCGACCCCCUCAUCCUUCCCGUCAUCCCUAACCCCUCUGUCCCGAGACAGGAGGCUCAGCUGCUGCUUUAGUUCCUUGAUUUCUUUUUCUUGCUCUAGUAUCUUCAUCUGUAGGGUGAGGUUCACCUGCAAAGAGAGAAAAUUUUAAGCUCCAUGAAAAUGUCUUCCUCCCUGACUUUUAAACACGCAGGCCUGCCUCGCUCUGCACAGCUCCGCUACGUGUGGGUUCCAGUGUUCCCGGUUUGUUACAUAUCACCCAGCACAGGGUCGAGUGUCAGUUACCAAGGGACAGUGACAGUAAUUCCAUUAGUCCUUCAGGCCGUAAAAUGCUACGUGAAUAGCCAUGCAUGUCACAACCGGGGACAGCCCCACGCUUCUUUCACUUUCGCUGGGGGUGGUCACUGAGCACGUGUUAGUGGUGCACACAGGCAACAUCUCCCAGGAUAAACCCACAUGACCCUGUAGACAAAUGGAUCAUCGCGGGGGACUUGGCCCACGGAGAUCAAAGUGCAGCAAAGUAAUGAAAAGUUGCGGUGAUGCUGCGAGUGAAAACCAAAUCGAACAUGAACAGUGUUAACAGCUGAAACAGCUGAUCCUGGGAAUGCUGACCCCGCCACCAGCGGACAGACUUGAAGACGUCUUCUCAACAUAAACAGGAAAAAGAUAAAGAUAUCCCAGAAAAAACGCCACAUUAAAAGAACCCUUAGACACAGAUCACAACACCCAAAGUGCCAAGGAUAAAAUGCCGGAAACAGACCCAAACUUAGGAGUAGGAUGAGUCACCAGGGCACAGAAAAGACACCCCUCCGUGCCCUACGUUACGAGACAGAUGCAGGCAGGCACCUUUCAAACUACUCUUGAAACACUUGAAUUCUCAAUUAUAGUUUUGUAACUUUUCACUUCCGCAUACAUCUGUAACUGACAAUAAAGACUUCUAAUGUUUUGACAAACGCUUUUAGAGGUCAUGGGACAGCUGUAACUUUUCCCAUUGAUUAUGAAGACCGCUCGGCGUGCCCUGAGCUCUGCAUGGUCAUUUUUACAGUCCAGCACCACCGUGCAAAGCAAGGGCGCCUGUCUCUGCAAAGUUCUCCGUACAGGUUAUGUGCAGGUGAUUUUAUAAAUAAUUCUACAAGACAGGAGAAAUUCUUACCCCUACUACCAAAUAACUAUGGUCUCUAAUAGCUGUCUUUGCAAGGAGCUAAAAAAUUCUCUCCCUGUGAGGCAAUAAA